GCAUAAAUUCAGCCUGGCUGGGCCUCAUCCUCCUCUGCCAUAGGUCACGGACUGCAGGGCUUCCCAAGCUGUCCCCUGGGAUGUCUGAGCGUGAGCAUCUGCACCCCCAGCAGAGGCUGCACCUGGUCCCUGUAGGGCCCUGCUGGGGCCAGCCCUGGCAGAGCGGCUGCAGGGGAUGAGCCACCCCUCCUGAGGAGCCACAUGGAUGUUGGCAUCACUGCACACACCUUGUAUUGCAAACAGAAGUAUCUGUGCACCCAGCUUCCCUCUCAUCAGGUACUAAUGAGGUUUCUAUAUGAAACGGUGCCUUGCGUGGCAGAUGGUGCCGGGUUAGAUCUGCAUUAUUCCUGUUCUGCUGAUUCAUCUCUCAAAUGUGCAAACUCAUGUGCUGCCUGGCUGUGCUUGCUGCAGGGACCCCACAUGGAUUCUUUCACAACAGACCUGCCUGGCUGUCAUCUGGGGGCUGCAGCUUUGUCUGACAUUCAGGGCGAGACCUUCUGCUGGUCCUGAAAAUCAAUAUUCAGCCCCAGCACUCCCUGACCAAUGAGGCAAUUGGAACAUAUUGAUUUUCAUUUCUGACUAAAUGGAACAGGCUUCUGUUGUACCUCAUAAUUCCUUGUAUGGUGACCAGUGCCAAGGUUGGGAUGCCAGCAGUGUACCAGCACUGGGACUGGGGCAAGCAGAAGGGCUCAGGUGGCUCACUCUGAGAGGGAGGACAAACUUCUCCUGCAUCAAGAGAGAUUCUGAUGCUUGGGUCACAUGCCUGGAAAGCCAACUCUUUUUCCAUGAGAAGGACCUGAAAGUCAUCUGAGACUGCUUGACUUGGAUUGCUUAAGUCAUCACCACUUUAAAAGCAAGUAGAUGCGCCCAUUUAAAAGGAAAGUUUUCCUAAAUACACAUUUUUCAUAAGCAAGCUGGAGCUGGAAUAAAACAAGGUAGUGAUGCUUCAGAGCUCUAGAACGUCUCCAUGGACACUGUGUAUAUAUUAUACUCAUAUCCCUGAGAUUAUUAGCAGUUUCUCAGGCUGAGCAGCAAGAUAAAAGGCAAUCUUGAUGGAGUGUUGUGAACUGUAGAUGGACACCAAGGAAAAUCUCCAUGGGCAUCCUGCAUCCUCUGCCUCCUGCCUGAGAGCCAGCCCUUCAUUCUCCUAUAGGACACAGAAUUUAAUUGCUGCCCAUCUAAGCUGAGUGAAGGCAGCCCAUACAAGUGCUGGCUUCAGCCUCUGCAGAGCCAGCAACACACACUGCUGCAAGCGGACAUAAACCAAAGGCAGAAACCCUUACCCCAGCUCUGAUCCCAGCAGGAAUUUUGCCAGGCACUUCCUAAAACCUUCACUGAUGGCACCCAGUAAAGUUCUGCAAGCAAUUCACAUCAGGAUGAAGCUAAACGGGAAAGCAGGUUAAACUCAGCAGUUGAGUCUGAAGAGAAAAUGGAACUGGGGAGGGCAAUGUGAAAGAGAACAGACAGCAUGUUAGCCCAUCUGUACAACAAGGGAGAAAUGGAUGUGACGUGCAUGCUUGACUACCAGGCAAGCCAACCUGAGAUUCCAAGGUGUUAACCACAGCUUGUCGGUUCUCUGGAGGUUAAUUCCUUUCUUUAACCCUGUGUCAUCCCAAUGGAUUUGCCAUUGUGCCCUCUGAAAGCUGCAAAGUAGAAAGCUAACAUUAGGGUUUAUAAAAUAAAACAGAUGGUAAAGCUUUUAUAACUGACGCGGCUAUGAUGAGUAUCUCAAUAGUGUUGAAGUCCUCUUUGUUUUAUUAUUAAAAAAAUAAUCUUACUAAAUGGCCAAUUUUGGAUGUAGUAACUUCACACCUAUUUUAUUAUUUGGCAGGUGCCAAACUAAGGCCCUUAAGCAUCUUGACCUUGGAGCAGGAUUUGCAUGUGAUUUCCCUCAGCUGCCAGUGAGUUUAGAAAUUGAUUUGCUCUCCUGGUCACCUUCUUCCGUUGUGGCAGCUUCUAAGGCAAUUCUCCCCAGCCAUUCUGCAAACAAGCUGAAGUACCAAAGCACAGAGUCCUGACUGCUGCUUGCCUGCUUGGUCUCCAUCCAGAGCCUGAAUACAGUCGUCUUGGGAUGAGGAGGCAACCCCAUGGUCUCAGCUGUGAUCUCCCACACCAUUAAUGAGAUUUCUUUCCUGUUACCACUAAAGUGUUUAGAUGUAGAUCUGCAUUAAUAUUCUGCAUUUCAGUGCUAAGAGAAAAGGUCUCUUUCUGGGUGCUUAGCAAUGCACACACACGAGUGGUUGUAUAACGCUUUACGUCAUCAGCGUACCAACUGCAGCAAUCAGAGGUAUAAUGCUAACCACUGCCAUAAAAUGUAGAAGUCCUGGAGUGACUGGGCAAGCAAACAAGCCAUCAUUACAAAGGGUUUGAAUGGGGGUGAGUAGUGAUCUCCAGCAGUCCUCUCCUGGAUCUCUGCUGCGGUUAGGGCCUAGGGACAGCUUCAGCUGACUCACUGCACAUCCUGAAGGGGAAAUGAAGCCCCAGCCCACCUUCAGCCCCCUCCAUGCAAAGCAGUGACUGUGUGUACAGCUGUGGUAUCCACCCAUGGGUUUUCAGCACCUUCCUUGUCUUUCCUGCCACUUUAUGCCAGUGUAAAUUUGGACAACUUUUGUUUAUGUAACUAGCUAUCCUCAGAGAGUGAGAAAUAAGCUGGGUUUUACCUAGACCUCCUGCCUGGCCACAAACUGCUCUCACAGACCUCUAGGAAGAGGCUUUUAGGUGAUGCCAUGCUCCAACAAACUCUUCAUCUUCCUGGCUUACAUAGUGCUGUAUCUGAACA
This is a non-coding RNA of Coturnix japonica (Japanese quail), 2779 nucleotides long. The record is from RefSeq and is a predicted model, not a curated record. Lineage: Eukaryota; Metazoa; Chordata; Aves; Galliformes; Phasianidae.